Molecule: long non-coding RNA, 127 nt
Organism: Aethalodelphis obliquidens (Pacific white-sided dolphin)
Lineage: Eukaryota; Metazoa; Chordata; Mammalia; Artiodactyla; Delphinidae
Exons: 3
Source: RefSeq, a predicted model, not a curated record
AAUUAUUUAAUGGGGACAGAGUUUCAGCUGGGGAAGACGAAAGAGUUCUGGAGAUGGAUGGUGGUGAAGGCUGCACAACAAUGUGAAUAUACUUAAUGUCACAGGACUGUUCCCUUAAACAUGUUUA